AACGUAGGAGGCGAGCGUUAUCCGGAUUCACUGGGCGUAAAGCGCAUGUAGGUGGUUCGUUAAGUAGGUCGUGAAAGCCCCCGGCUCAACUGGGGGAGGUCGGCCUAAACUGGCGGACUUGAGGUUCCGAGAGGCCGGUGGAAUUCCCGGUGUAGCGGUGGAAUGCGUAGAGAUCGGGAGGAACACCAGUGGCGAAAGCGGCCGGCUGGCGGAAUUCUAACACUGAGAUGCGAAAGCGUGGGGAG
Molecule: ribosomal RNA, 245 nt
Filed under: uncultured bacterium
Lineage: Bacteria
Description: partial 16S ribosomal RNA
Rfam family: Bacterial small subunit ribosomal RNA
Source: RNAcentral